This 2700-nucleotide long non-coding RNA is filed under the name Populus trichocarpa (black cottonwood). RNAcentral's name for it is "long non-coding RNA (PTRI_LNC002966)". The record is from RNAcentral. Lineage: Eukaryota; Viridiplantae; Streptophyta; Magnoliopsida; Malpighiales; Salicaceae.
AAGAUACAGUGUUCCUUCCUGGGAUCUCCUUGCUUUUGUUUCAAUCAAGUGGUCCGACGUCGCGACAUUGCCCUGAAGAUCAAAGAAGUUAGUGAAAAAGUGGAUGACAUUGCCAAAGAGAGAGCUAAGUAUGGCUUUGAUCUGUACAAAGGCACUGAUGAACUCCAGCGACUAACAACUACCUCCUUUGUUGAUGAAUCAAGCGUGAUUGGUCGAGAUGGUGAAAAGAGAAAUGUUGUAAGCAAGUUGCUGGCUGAAAGUAGUCACGAAGCACGGGACGUGGAUGUCAUCUCUCUAGUAGGGCUGGGCGGAAUUGGAAAAACAACUCUCGCCCAACUAGCAUUUAAUGAUUCUGAGGUUACGGCUCAUUUUGAGAAAAAGAUAUGGGUGUGUGUUUCAGAACCAUUUGAUGAGAUUAGAAUAGCCAAAGCUAUCCUUGAGCAGCUUGAAGGGAGACCAACGAAUUUGGUUGAAUUGCAAUCCCUUUUGCAAGGGGUUUCUGAAUCCAUUACUGGAAAGAGGCUCCUUCUUGUCCUUGAUGAUGUAUGGACAGAAAAUCAUGGACAAUGGGAACAACUGAAACCAUCUCUCACAGGCUGUGCACGAGGAAGCAGAAUUCUAGUGACCACUCGUAAGGACGCUGUGGCAACGAUGAUGGGAACUGACCACCGGAUCAACAUUGAGAAAUUGUCCGAUGAGAUAUGCAGGUCAAUAUUCAAUCAUGUGGCAUUCCAGGAAAGAAGCGAAGAUGAGCGCGAAAGAUUGACAGAUAUCGGCGAUAAAAUUGCAAACAAGUGCAAGGGCUUGCCGCUAGCUGCCAAGGUAUUAGGAGGUCUAAUGCAGUCUAAAAGAACAAGAGAAGAGUGGGAACGUGUUUUAUCUAGCGAACUGUGGAGGCUAGAUGAGGUUGAUAGAGAUCAGGUUGAAAGUCGAAUAUUUAUACCUUUGCUUUUGAGUUACUACGAUUUACCUUCUGUGGUAAGACGAUGUUUCUUGUACUGUGCCAUGUUUCCAAAAGACUUCGAGAUGGUCAAAGAUGAAUUGGUGAAGAUGUGGAUGGCUCAAGGUUACAUCAAGGAGACUUCAGGUGGAGAUAUGGAGCUUGUAGGAGAGCGGUACUUUCAUGUCUUGGCAGCGCGCUCUUUCUUCCAAGAUUUUGAGACGGAUAGAUUUGAAGGAAUGAAAUUCAAGAUGCAUGAUAUAGUGCAUGAUUUUGCCCAAUAUAUGACAAAAAAUGAAUGUCUAACCGUGGAUGUCAAUACACUUGGAGGAGCAACAGUGGAGACUUCAAUUGAAAGGGUUCGUCAUUUAAGCAUGAUGGUGUCAGAGGAGACAUCUUUUCCCGUGUCUAUUCACAAAGCCAAAGGUCUUCGCAGCCUCUUGAUCUACACUAGAGACCCUUCGUUUGGAGCUGCACUGCCUGAUUUGUUCAAGCAGUUGACAUGCAUCCGGUCAUUGGAUUUGUCAACGUCUUCUAUCAAAGAAAUACCGAACGAGGUAGGGAAAUUGAUACAUUUGAGACACCUCAAUCUGGCAUCUUGUGGAGAGUUGGAGUCCCUGCCAGAAACCAUGUGUGAUUUAUGCAAUCUGCAAUCCCUAGACGUUACUUGGUGUCGGUCUCUCAAGGAAUUGCCCAAUGCGAUUGGAAAACUUAUCAAAUUGAGGCAUCUCCGGAUUUAUCGUUCAGGUGUGGACUUCAUACCAAAGGGAAUAGAGAGGAUAACAUGUCUUCGAACAUUAGAUGUGUUUAAAGUGUGUGGUGGUGGUGAGAAUGAAAGUAAAGCAGCUAAUCUAAGAGAAUUAAAAAACUUAAAUCACAUUGGAGGGAGCUUUAGUAUACGGAAUCUAGGAGGAGGUAUAGAAGAUGCGAGUGACGCUGCAGAAGCACAACUCAAGAAUAAGAAGCGCCUGCUUCGUUUGGAAUUGGGUUUCGACUACAACCAGGAGAACGGCAUUUUAAUUGAAGCUUUACAGCCUCCGUCAGACUUGGAAUGUCUGACCAUAUCUAGUUACGGAGGGUUGGAUUUGCCACAUUGGAUGAUGACAUUAACCAGAUUACAGGAGCUUAGACUUGAUGAUUGUACAAACCUGGAGGUCUUGCGUCCGUUGGGAGGAUUGCCCAACCUUGAAAUCCUGGUACUGAGCUCGUUGAAGGUGAGAAGGCUGGAUGCUGGAUUUUUAGGUAUAGAAAAGGAUGAGAAUGCCAGUAUUAAUGAAGGAGAAAUUGCAAGGGUCACUGCUUUCCCCAAAUUAAAAAGACUUGAUUUUAGGCAUCUCUUAGAAGUAGAAGAGUGGGAAGGAAUUGAAAGGAGAGUGGGAGAAGAAGAUGUCAACACAACUUCAAUAAUAUCCAUUAUGCCACAACUUCAAUAUUUGAGAAUUAUCAAUUGCCCGUUGCUGAGAGCACUACCAGACUAUGUUUUGGCAGCGCCUCUACAGGAAUUAGACAUAAGGUGGUGCACCAUUCUAAGGAAACGUUACGGGAAGGAGGAGAUGGGUGAAGAUUGGCAAAAGAUUUCUCACAUCCCAAACAGUUAUUUUUAUGAUUAGGUGAGAAAGGCAGAACUCUUUAGAACCUGCUUUGAGUGUAUUAAUUAUUUGCUUUGGUGUUUGCUAAGGUUGAGUGUAAAUAAUAUGUAAGCCUUACCAUUUACUCUAUGUGACUGUUUCAGUGGAUUAAAUCCAAGAAAUUCUUAAACC